GGUAAAGUGGCCGAGUGAAAGGCGGUAGGCUGUAGUCCUAUUAACAUUGGUUUAAUUCCUUUCUUUAUCA
RNAcentral lists this transfer RNA (70 nucleotides) under Anolis homolechis. RNAcentral's name for it is "tRNA-Tyr". It matches the Rfam family "tRNA". From Rfam's summary of the family: Transfer RNA (tRNA) molecules are approximately 80 nucleotides in length. RNAcentral also lists the same sequence under 1 other name. The record is from RNAcentral. Lineage: Eukaryota; Metazoa; Chordata; Lepidosauria; Squamata; Anolidae.